Molecule: ribosomal RNA, 562 nt
Filed under: Leotiomycetes sp. ZZ-9
Lineage: Eukaryota; Fungi; Ascomycota; Leotiomycetes
Also listed under: 2 other names
Description: eukaryotic LSU rRNA
Rfam family: 5.8S ribosomal RNA (bases 220-373)
Source: RNAcentral
AAGUCGUAACAAGGUUUCCGUAGGUGAACCUGCGGAAGGAUCAUUACAGUAGUCGCCCGGGUUGCCGCAAGGCCUCCCGGGCAACCUACCACCCUUUGUUUAUUACACUUUGUUGCUUUGGCAGGCCUGCCCUCGGGCUGCUGGCUCCGGCCGGCGAGCGUCUGCCAGAGGACCUAAACUCUGUUUGUCUAUACUGUCUGAGUACUAUAUAAUAGUUAAAACUUUCAACAACGGAUCUCUUGGUUCUGGCAUCGAUGAAGAACGCAGCGAAAUGCGAUAAGUAAUGUGAAUUGCAGAAUUCAGUGAAUCAUCGAAUCUUUGAACGCACAUUGCGCCCCCUGGUAUUCCGGGGGGCAUGCCUGUCCGAGCGUCAUUACAACCCUCAAGCUCAGCUUGGUGUUGGGCCCCGCCGCCCCGGCGGGCCCUAAAGUCAGUGGCGGUGCCGUCCGGCUCCGAGCGUAGUAAUUCUUCUCGCUCUGGAGGCCCGGUCGUGUGCUCGCCAGCAACCCCCAAUUUUUUUCAGGUUGACCUCGGAUCAGGUAGGGAUACCCGCUGAACUUAA